GCGUCUAUAGCUCAGUUGGUUAGAGCACCACCUUGACAUGGUGGGGGUCGGUGGUUCGAGCCCACUUAGACGCACCA
RNAcentral lists this transfer RNA (77 nucleotides) under Vibrio cholerae. RNAcentral describes it as "tRNA-Val". It matches the Rfam family "tRNA". Rfam says of the family: Transfer RNA (tRNA) molecules are approximately 80 nucleotides in length. Lineage: Bacteria; Pseudomonadati; Pseudomonadota; Gammaproteobacteria; Vibrionales; Vibrionaceae. RNAcentral also lists the same sequence under 1 other name. The record is from RNAcentral.